RNAcentral lists this long non-coding RNA (1135 nucleotides) under Monodelphis domestica (gray short-tailed opossum). RNAcentral's name for it is "lncRNA (ENSMODG00000030199.2)". Lineage: Eukaryota; Metazoa; Chordata; Mammalia; Didelphimorphia; Didelphidae. The record is from RNAcentral.
UUCCUGUUGCCUAGAGAAGGGAGGGAUUAAGUGACUUGGCCAAGGUUACAUGUAGCCAUUAUUGCAUCAAACACAGAGCUUGAACCCAGGUCCUUUUGCCUCUAAGGCCAGCUCUCUAGUCACUCUGCCCCUCACUGCCUCUAUACAUCCAGAAGAAUCCUCUCAGUGGCAGUUCUUGUCCUUGUUUGAGGAAAGCUACCAGGGAGCUGGUUUAGUCAGACCAUGACAAAGCAUGUCCUGAAGUGACAGCUGAAUGUCUGAGGGCACACCAGAGUGUCUGAAGGCACCAUGGCUGCCACGGGCCCAGUUUUAUCCUUUGUGGAAACACGUCUCCAGAAAAGCAUCGUCCAGAGCCUCAGAGUUCCAGGGCUGGUGUUGGGUGUUUCGUGGGACAGAGAGCUUAGACAUGGAGUGAAGUGCACAUCUCAAGCCAAGCUUCCUCUUUUGCCCACGCGAGUGCUGAUGUCACUUCUUGCAUGGAGGUUACAAUGGAGCAGAUAAUAUUCCUUCCCGGUGCCAUCCGUGAACCUCAUCAUUGUCCUUGGUCUGCCCACACCUGUAAUUCCUCAGAGAGGAGUCUGUUCUGAGAUCCACAACUGGACGGCCCUGCCCAAGAGUAGCCAUCGCAGCAGAAUCUCCCUGUUUUAUGCCACCCUUGAUGCUAAUAAUAUAGGAUCAGUGAACAGUUAUCAAGAAAUGGCAUAUCGUGCUCCCAUGCAUGAGAGCAUCCAUGUUAGAAGAGGAGGACUGAGAUCAUAUUUUAUUCUGUUGAGCCUUUUUAUGGGAAUCAAACAACAACGAUUGGCAGAAUAUAGCAUUCUCUGUCCCUUUCACCCUGUUGUGUGACUAGAAAGAUAGGAUUAUCUAUAGAAUAUCCUUUCAAAACCUUUGCCAUUUCCCUCUCUUAAGUUCUUUGAGGGUAUCCACAAUAUACACUUAGCAUGUUGUCAUAAAGAUUUGAUAAAGGUGAGAAAAUAGACACACGGGUGGGUAGAUAUUAUAUGCUCCUCAUUUCAUUUCUUGGAUAAAGGCCAAGGAUUCCCCAGAGUGAUGCUAUGUGGUGUAACAGAUAGAAUACUCAACUUGGAGUCAGAGAGAACUGAAUUUGAAUCUCAUGUCAUAUAUGAAGUUUGAC